RNAcentral lists this ribosomal RNA (1483 nucleotides) under uncultured bacterium. RNAcentral's name for it is "bacterial SSU rRNA". It matches the Rfam family "Bacterial small subunit ribosomal RNA". The record is from RNAcentral.
GCUCAGAUUGAACGCUGGCGGCAGGCCUAACACAUGCAAGUCGAGCGGUAGCACAGAGAGCUUGCUCUCGGGUGACGAGCGGCGGACGGGUGAGUAAUGUCUGGGAAACUGCCUGAUGGAGGGGGAUAACUACUGGAAACGGUAGCUAAUACCGCAUAAUGUCGCAAGACCAAAGUGGGGGACCUUCGGGCCUCAUGCCAUCAGAUGUGCCCAGAUGGGAUUAGCUAGUAGGUGGGGUAACGGCUCACCUAGGCGACGAUCCCUAGCUGGUCUGAGAGGAUGACCAGCCACACUGGAACUGAGACACGGUCCAGACUCCUACGGGAGGCAGCAGUGGGGAAUAUUGCACAAUGGGCGCAAGCCUGAUGCAGCCAUGCCGCGUGUGUGAAGAAGGCCUUCGGGUUGUAAAGCACUUUCAGCGGGGAGGAAGGCGGUGAGGUUAAUAACCUCACCGAUUGACGUUACCCGCAGAAGAAGCACCGGCUAACUCCGUGCCAGCAGCCGCGGUAAUACGGAGGGUGCAAGCGUUAAUCGGAAUUACUGGGCGUAAAGCGCACGCAGGCGGUCUGUCAAGUCGGAUGUGAAAUCCCCGGGCUCAACCUGGGAACUGCAUUCGAAACUGGCAGGCUAGAGUCUUGUAGAGGGGGGUAGAAUUCCAGGUGUAGCGGUGAAAUGCGUAGAGAUCUGGAGGAAUACCGGUGGCGAAGGCGGCCCCCUGGACAAAGACUGACGCUCAGGUGCGAAAGCGUGGGGAGCAAACAGGAUUAGAUACCCUGGUAGUCCACGCCGUAAACGAUGUCGAUGUGGAGGUUGUGCCCUUGAGGCGUGGCUUCCGGAGCUAACGCGUUAAAUCGACCGCCUGGGGAGUACGGCCGCAAGGUUAAAACUCAAAUGAAUUGACGGGGGCCCGCACAAGCGGUGGAGCAUGUGGUUUAAUUCGAUGCAACGCGAAGAACCUUACCUGGUCUUGACAUCCACAGAACUUUCCAGAGAUGGAUUGGUGCCUUCGGGAACUGUGAGACAGGUGCUGCAUGGCUGUCGUCAGCUCGUGUUGUGAAAUGUUGGGUUAAGUCCCGCAACGAGCGCAACCCUUAUCCUUUGUUGCCAGCGGUCCGGCCGGGAACUCAAAGGAGACUGCCAGUGAUAAACUGGAGGAAGGUGGGGAUGACGUCAAGUCAUCAUGGCCCUUACGACCAGGGCUACACACGUGCUACAAUGGCAUAUACAAAGAGAAGCGACCUCGCGAGAGCAAGCGGACCUCAUAAAGUAUGUCGUAGUCCGGAUUGGAGUCUGCAACUCGACUCCAUGAAGUCGGAAUCGCUAGUAAUCGUAGAUCAGAAUGCUACGGUGAAUACGUUCCCGGGCCUUGUACACACCGCCCGUCACACCAUGGGAGUGGGUUGCAAAAGAAGUAGGUAGCUUAACCUUCGGGAGGGCGCUUACCACUUUGUGAUUCAUGACUGGGGUGAAGUCGUAACAAGGU